This 912-nucleotide long non-coding RNA is filed under the name Homo sapiens (human). RNAcentral's name for it is "HSALNT0157127". Lineage: Eukaryota; Metazoa; Chordata; Mammalia; Primates; Hominidae. The record is from RNAcentral.
GUGGCCUCUGCCAUCCCCGACGACCAGGGCUGGGGCGUCCGCCCUCAGCAGCCACAGGGACCAGGAGCGAACCAUGAUGCCAGGUCCCUAAUCAUGGACUCCCCAAGAGCUGGCACCCACCAGGGCCCCCUCGAUGCAGAGACAGAGGUCGGUGCUGACCGCUGCACGUCGACUGCCUACCAGGAGCAGAGGCCCCAGGUGGAGCAAGUUGGCAAACAGGCUCCUCUCUCCCCAGGGCUGCCGGCAAUGGGGGGGCCUGGCCCCGGCCCCUGUGAGGACCCCGCGGGUGCUGGGGUAAGAGGCUCUAGACCCUUCACCUGUCAGUCACCUGAGGGAGGCUGAGGCCAAGCCCCAUCCCUCAGAAUCAAGGCUUGCAAGCCCCCCUCACCUGCCCAGUCUCUGUCCACACCCCUCGGGCUGAAGACGGCCCUGACCAGGCCCUGGGCCUCAGCGACCACCCCUCCCCCUCCUGCCUGGACCCAGGGAGCAGGUGCAGGGGGCUCCGAGCCCCUGGUGACUGUCACCGUGCAGUGCGCCUUCACAGUGGCCCUGAGGGCACGAAGAGGAGCCGACCUGUCCAGCCUGCGGGCACUGCUGGGCCAAGCCCUCCCUCACCAGGCCCAGCUUGGGCAACUCAGUUACCUAGCCCCAGGUGAGGACGGGCACUGGGUCCCCAUCCCCGAGGAGGAGUCGCUGCAGAGGGCCUGGCAGGACGCAGCUGCCUGCCCCAGGGGGCUGCAGCUGCAGUGCAGGGGAGCCGGGGGUCGGCCGGUCCUCUACCAGGUGGUGGCCCAGCACAGCUACUCCGCCCAGGGGCCAGAGGACCUGGGCUUCCGACAGGGGGACACGGUGGACGUCCUGUGUGAAGUGGACCAGGCAUGGCUGGAGGGCCACUGUGACGGCCGCAUCGGC